AGCAGCCGCGGUAAUUCCAGCUCCAAUAGCGUAUAUUAAAGUUGUUGCAGUUAAAAGCUCGUAGUUGAAUUUCGAGACCGGUUUAUUGGUCGUGCUUUUGUACGUACUGGUAUUAUUGGUUUCUCCUUUCUGACGAACUAUAAUGCCAUUAAUUUGGUGUUAUGGGGAAUCAGGACUGUUACUUUGAAAAAAUUAGAGUGUUUAAAGCAGGCUCACGCUUGAAUACAUUAGCAUGGAAUAACGGAAUAGGACGUUUGAUUCUAUUUUGUUGGUUUCUAGGAUCGACGUAAUGAUUAAUAGGGAUAGUUGGGGGCAUUAGUAUUCAAUUGUCAGAGGUGAAAUUCUUGGAUUUAUUGAAGACUAACUACUGCGAAAGCAUUUGCCAAGGAUGUUUUCAUUAGUCAAGAACGAAAGUUAGGGGAUCGAAGACGAUCAGAUACCGUCGUAGUCUUAACCAUAAAUUAUGCCGACUAGGGAUCGGAUGAUGUUAAUUUUUUAAUGACUCAUUCGGCGCCUUACG
This 520-nucleotide unclassified non-coding RNA is filed under the name uncultured Glomus. RNAcentral describes it as "SSU rRNA". It matches the Rfam family "Eukaryotic small subunit ribosomal RNA", at positions 569 to 1092 of the family's 1831-position model. Lineage: Eukaryota; Fungi; Glomeromycota; Glomeromycetes; Glomerales; Glomeraceae. The record is from RNAcentral.